This 497-nucleotide ribosomal RNA is filed under the name uncultured bacterium. RNAcentral's name for it is "partial 16S ribosomal RNA". It matches the Rfam family "Bacterial small subunit ribosomal RNA", at positions 29 to 507 of the family's 1533-position model. The record is from RNAcentral.
AGUGAACGCUGGCGGCAGGCCUAAUACAUGCAAGUCGAACGGCAGCACAGUAAGAGUUUGCUCCUACGGGUGGCGACUGGCGGACGGGUGAGGCAUACAUCGCAAUCUUCUUAUUCGUGGGGGACUACGGAGGGAAACAUACGCUACUACAGCAUACAACCUACGGCUGAAAUCAAGGGAUCUACGCGCUUUUCGCGUCUGUAUGAGCUGAAGCCGUGUCGGAUUAGCUAGUUGGUAAGGUAACGGCUUACCAAGGCGACGAUGCGUAGCCGACCUGAGAGGAUGAUCAGCCACACUGGAACUGAGACACGGUCCAGACUCCUACGGGAGGCAGCAGUAGGGAAUAUUCGGCAAUGGGCGAAAGCCUGAUGCAGCAAUGCCGCGUGAGUGAAGAAGGCCUUCGGGUUGUAAAGCCCUUUUGUUGGGAAAGAACAGCAGCGGAUGAAUCCCCGGAUGUUCUGACGGUACCCAAUGAGUAAGCACCGGCUAACUUCGUG